RNAcentral lists this long non-coding RNA (3019 nucleotides) under Cyanistes caeruleus (blue tit). RNAcentral describes it as "lncRNA (ENSCCEG00000002075.1)". The record is from RNAcentral. Lineage: Eukaryota; Metazoa; Chordata; Aves; Passeriformes; Paridae.
CUGCAACAACAACAGAGAUUUGCUCCGCUUCCUGGAGCAAGAGAGGCGAAGGAGGCAGGUGGCUCCAGAGGAGAAAGAUCCAUUCCUGGGGAAGACUCCUCUCUUUGCCAGACCCUACAAGGUAAUGGGAGUGGGCUGAAGGUUGUAUGGAGAGGAGGAAGGAGGCUUGGCCUGGGAGAGGAGAGCCAUGUCUUCUGCAUGGGCCGUAGCAGACUUGAGCCCAAUCCCUGCAGACACAGCACAUCUUUCCAUCUGCUUCAUUGAGCUUGCCUGACUUCCUUUGUGGGGAUGCAUGGUGAUUCCAUGAAGAUACUGAGCAAGGUCUCUUGCUUGGGGUGUUUGUGACAUUUGCCCCUCUGUUAUUCUGUUGCAGACCUAUAAAGAAGAUGAGCUGUCAAGGCGCAUUAAGAACCUGCUGGGCGAUCAGGACUCCAAGGUGCUCCUGAGCCACGAGUCCCCUCUGAAUCCCAUCUGGAUUCCAAACAAGCCCAAAGCCCAGUCACAAAGCCACAGUCAUAGGCCGGCCUCCAGGAAGACAAACCCCUAUGAAGACAGAUGGAGGGAAUGCUCAACACAAUCACUGGAGCACACACCAAAUCCUGAGAGGAACUAUGACAGCCAUGACAGUCUCUCAGAUCGAGGGUCAGAAGGCAAAGCUCCACAGUGCAAAAUCCUGCCUGAGCCUGUCAAGAAAGAGCAGCCCACUGAUGUGCCAUCUACUGAAAAAACUUUGAAGCCCAUCGUGCACAUUUAUGUACAGUCCAUUGAAGGAAUAUUGAAGGAAAUGAGCAGCUGCCUGCCACCUCUCCUGCCACCUCUGCAGUCACCUGCUAGAACAGAGACUUGCAAAUUUCCAUUGCAGGCAGAGGAAAAGAAGCCCAUUGAUGUGCCAUCAAUUGAAGAAAUUUUGAGAGAAAUGAGCAGCUCACUGCCACCUCUCCUGUCACCUCUUCAGACGCCUACAAGAGCAGAGACGUGCAGACUUCCAUUGGCAGGAAAGGAAUCCCAACCUGAUGGAUCUGCAGCACAGAAACAGAAUAAAGAGAAAUGCAAAGGAAACCCAGUUCUUUCUGUGCUGACAGAGCAGGCAGGCAGAGCGUCAGGAAGGUUGCCGAGUUCUCAGCCAAGAACAUCGUAAGUAAACAGACCGUGUUUCCACCUCUGCCGGGCAGAUACUUGAAAGAACCUGGAAUGAACAAACAUUUGGGCUAUCAGUCAGAUUUUUCUCAGAAAACCUCAAUGCAGGGAAUUUUCCCCAACUGAAGAAUUAUUAUUUCAUGAUCUACUCAUGAAAUUGUUGAGGUUGGAAAAGAUCUUGAAGAGCUUAAGCAAACAGAUUAACGUGACACCAUUAUUCCCAGUGGCCACCGGCCUUGGGAUUUGCACAAGGAGAAGGUGCCCUUGUCUCCUGGAGAGAAGUUGCUCUCACCUUCAAGGAAGCCAGACUUGAAGAGGAGAGCCAUGAGGAGUUCAGAGGAGUCCCCUGGAGAGAGGAAGGUGAGAGGGGCAGGGGGACGUGGGUUUGGACAAUGACCAAGGUGGUGUUUGAAAAACCCAAGUGGAGUUUCCACUUCAUACGUUGGCACUAGAGCCAUGAUUGAUCUCCUGUAAGGGUGUUAUCAAACCUGUAAGGGGAAUGUUCCCACAGCUGAUUCCCAUUGGUCACCAAUACCCUUCUGAGAAAACGGAAAGCCUUGUAAGCUGUUGUUUUGUGUGUUUUGGUGCUUUUAGUGUUUUCUUGGGAUCCUGGUUUCCUGAGAAAACAAAACCUCAGCUGUCCUCCGCCAGAGGAGGUUUUGGCAGCUUGUGGCUGCCCAGCCCCUGCCAGCACUGCUGGGUUUCUCUGGGUUUCAGCCCAAGCUGAGCUUUGUAGCUUGGUGGUGGCCCAUUCUUGUGUUCCUGCAUCAAAAGCAGUAGGUAUCUGAAGCACUUGGCAGAUGGAUAAAUAGUCAAAGCGCUUGUUUGGAUUUCCCUGGAGCUGCUGUGAUGCCAGCAGUGAUGCCUAAGAAGUGGCUGUGUGUUGGAGUCCCAGGCACAGAAAAUGUCCUUUUGAUCUGUGCUGACCGGCUCCGGCACUUGAGAGAACACAGGGUUGGAGUUAAGACCAUGGAGAAGGCUUCUAAAACUGAGUGGAGGAGCUGGGAAUGUCGAUGUGUGAAUUAGAUAGCAUUAUGUUAAUUCACUGGGUGAAAAAGACAGUUUAGAGUUUGAGAUGUAGUAGUGAAUAAGAGACAAGGUAUAGGUUCUUGGGUGUUGGUUUGUCUUUGCCUUUCUUCUUUCUUCUCCAUGGUUUUGGCUGGUAUGGGGUGAUUGGAUGGAAAGGUAUGCAGUGCAGAACAUGGGUGUUUGGUUAUUGGGUUAAAAGUAUAAGUAAAUGGGUUGGCAUUUGAUAACUGGAUGGUUUAUGCUUAAAAGGCCUUGUGGACAGAGCCCACAUUCUCCGUUUGUAGCUUGUUAGGUUAGUGUGUGGAAGUACUUACUAUCUGUAAAAAUGUAAAGUAGAUAAGGUAAAACAAACAUCCUAAGUCUGAAGACAAAAGCCGUCUCUCUGCUCAUCAGUCCUCAUCCUGGGGAAAAGAUCUGAACCCUUUGACAUUUGGUGCCCCGGAGACUUUUACAGCUGUGUGUAGUCAGGGGCUUUGCAGAGACCCCUUUGCAGAGUCCCUCGGCCAUUGCAGUGGCUUUCCCUGGAAUUCCAAGACAGCCCUUCAUUUCAAACUCGGAGGUGGUCGUUGCUCUCAAGUGUUUUUUGGGAAGCUGACUCCCAGAGUCAGUGCUGACUCCCAGACAGCACUGGGAGGUCAGGUGCACAAGGAGUUGGCUGCAGGCCUUGCAGUGAUGGGCACUCCCUGUGGACAUUGCAGGGCCUGUCUCCCUUUCUGUUCCUCCUCCCAGAACAGGUGGCUCAGCAGGGCCGGGGGAAUAACUUUGCUUCCUGUGUGGGUUUUUUAACUUUGUCAUUUUCUGAGCUUCCUGAGUUAAGAAUAAAGAAGAGUAGGGAAAUGGUGAGGAAACUGGA